Molecule: ribosomal RNA, 473 nt
Filed under: uncultured bacterium
Lineage: Bacteria
Description: bacterial SSU rRNA
Rfam family: Bacterial small subunit ribosomal RNA
Source: RNAcentral
CUCCAUCACUCCUACGGGAGGCAGCAGUGGGGAAUAUUGCACAAUGGGGGAAACCCUGAUGCAGCCAUGCCGCGUGUGUGAAGAAGGCCUUCGGGUUGUAAAGCACUUUCAGUAGGGAGGAAGGUAGUGUAGUUAACACCUGCAUUAUUUGACGUUACCUACAGAAGAAGCACCGGCUAACUCCGUGCCAGCAGCCGCGGUAAUACGGAGGGUGCGAGCGUUAAUCGGAAUUACUGGGCGUAAAGCGCAUGCAGGCGGCCUGUUAAGUCAGAUGUGAAAGCCCGGGGCUUAACCUCGGAAUUGCAUUUGAAACUGGCAGGCUAGAGUCUUGUAGAGGGGGUAGAAUUUCAGGUGUAGCGGUGAAAAUGCGUAGAGAUCUGAAGGAAUACCAGUGGCGAAGGCGGCCCCCUGGACAAAGACUGACGCUCAGAUGCGAAAGCGUGGGGAGCAAACAGGAUUAGAUACCCUGGUAG